GCAAAGACUGGCGGUUGUUGGGGAGGUGGAGGGGCGCACAGAACAUCAGCAUGAUGGAACUAACAAGAUCAUGAUUCUGCUGAAAGGUAAUCACCUCACCUGCUUUACCCAGCAACUGAAUGAUGAGCACCUGAGAGGCUCCAUUAAAAACUCAUGUUGGUUCAUCAUUCUCUUGUCAGUUUUUUGGACCAUUGUUCUGAAAGAAAUGGAUAUACGGAUGAAUGGGCGUGUAGAGAAAGAUGGAUGGUGACUGGAAGGUAA
Labrus bergylta (ballan wrasse) is the source of this 261-nucleotide long non-coding RNA. RefSeq lists it as uncharacterized. The record is from RefSeq and is a predicted model, not a curated record. Lineage: Eukaryota; Metazoa; Chordata; Actinopteri; Labriformes; Labridae.